Molecule: ribosomal RNA, 253 nt
Filed under: uncultured bacterium
Lineage: Bacteria
Description: partial 16S ribosomal RNA
Rfam family: Bacterial small subunit ribosomal RNA
Source: RNAcentral
UACGAAGGUGGCAAGCGUUACUCGGAAUUACUAGGCGUAAAGCGCAGGUAGGCGGUUCGAUAAGUCUUUUGUGAAAGCUCCCGGCUUAACUGGGAGAGGCCAAGGGAAACUGUCGGACUAGAGUGUGGUAGAGGGUGCUGGAAUUCCCGGUGUAGCGGUGAAAUGCGUAGAGAUCGGGAGGAAUACCUAUGGCGAAAGCAGGCACCUGGGCCAUCACUGACGCUGAGCUGCGAAAGCUAGGGGAGCAAACAGG